Molecule: long non-coding RNA, 300 nt
Filed under: Vigna radiata
Lineage: Eukaryota; Viridiplantae; Streptophyta; Magnoliopsida; Fabales; Fabaceae
Description: long non-coding RNA (VRAD_LNC013836)
Source: RNAcentral
GCGUGGUGAAAUUAUAGGGAAGAAUGAGAAAGAUGGGCACCAAUUAUAAGGAGAUAGAUGGUUGAAAAUAUGCAAAGUAUGAUGUGAAGUAAAGAAUGGGUAAUGGGACACGAAACAAAACUGAGAAGAUGGUUGAUGGAAUUGAAAACUUGAUGGUAACCCUUGUCUAGCCAUAUAUGUGCAUGCAAUUCAAAAGUUCCUGAUUAAAUUUAAAAGGGCUCUUCUGUAUUAUUCACUGCAUGCAAUGAAGGUACUUCUCACAUUUAAUGUUGGUAAAAUUGAUUGGGUAGUGUUUCUGCU